This 157-nucleotide ribosomal RNA is filed under the name Verrucoconiothyrium nitidae. Its description in RNAcentral is "5.8S ribosomal RNA". It matches the Rfam family "5.8S ribosomal RNA". From Rfam's summary of the family: 5.8S ribosomal RNA (5.8S rRNA) is a component of the large subunit of the eukaryotic ribosome. It is transcribed by RNA polymerase I as part of the 45S precursor that also contains 18S and 28S rRNA. Lineage: Eukaryota; Fungi; Ascomycota; Dothideomycetes; Pleosporales; Didymosphaeriaceae. The record is from RNAcentral.
CAACUUUCAACAAUGGAUCUCUUGGCUCUGGCAUCGAUGAAGAACGCAGCGAAAUGCGAUAAGUAGUGUGAAUUGCAGAAUUCAGUGAAUCAUCGAAUCUUUGAACGCACAUUGCGCCCCUUGGUAUUCCAUGGGGCAUGCCUGUUCGAGCGUCAUU